CAAUAGCGUAUAUUAAAGUUGUUGCAGUUUAAAAGCUCGUAGUUGAAUUUCUAUCAGGAGUGACCGGGCCUUUGGAUGAACUUCCAUUGCUUUUUGCUCUGUUUGUCAUCUCUAGACAUCCUGAAAUAUUUUUUAAAAAUAUUUCUCUUUUACUGUUAGCAAAAUAGAGUGUUCCAAGCAAAGCGUAGUUUUGAAUACAUUAGAAUGGAAUAAUAAGAUAGGACUUUGGUGCUAUUUUGUUGGUUUGCACACCAAGGUAAUGAUUAAUAGGGACAGUUGGGGGUAUUCGUAUUUAAUUGUCAGAGGUGAAAUUCUUGGAUUUAUGAAAGACGACCUACUGCGAAAGCAUUUACCAAGGAUGUUUUCAUUAA
This 371-nucleotide ribosomal RNA is filed under the name uncultured eukaryote. Its description in RNAcentral is "partial 18S ribosomal RNA". It matches the Rfam family "Eukaryotic small subunit ribosomal RNA", at positions 592 to 976 of the family's 1831-position model. The record is from RNAcentral.